Long non-coding RNA from Poecile atricapillus (Black-capped chickadee), 802 nucleotides. RefSeq lists it as uncharacterized. The record is from RefSeq and is a predicted model, not a curated record. NCBI's taxonomy places the organism in Eukaryota, Metazoa, Chordata, Aves, Passeriformes, Paridae. The transcript has 3 exons.
CUCGGGCCCGUCCCAAUAGCCCGCCAUGGCGACAAGGGCAUGAGCGACGUAUCGCGAGAAGACGCCGCGGCCCCGCCUCGCGAGGAGGCGAGGCCAGGAACCGUCCCGCGGGCACGCGCGUGGCCAGCGGGCAGGAAGUGGAGCUGAAGGUGCGCCUCACCCAGUUUCGGUGAUCAGCUCCCCUGGGUUGCAGCAGCACCGGGCGAUCGAUUGCGUUCCCUAGACUGUCCAGGAGACAGAUGAGUGGUGGACCAGGGGGGUCCGUGAAGAGUCCACAGGGAAAGACCACUGAAAAGCUCACUGGUGGUUGCACGGUACACUGCCCUCGUUCCUGCUGGUGAGCAGAGGUUUGUGCGUGGUACCCUGUGCAAUGGGAUUUCCACGACAUAUUGCCCUCAUUCCUGCUGGUGAGCAAAGACUUGCAAGACAUGGUUUGCUCUCUACCCUACUCCUGCCCCCUGCACAAUGGAAUUCAUCACAGUGAUCAUCAAUCUCCUCUGUUUUUGGCCCUGUGCCCCUCACUUUGUAAAAGACUAUAAAAUUAUACCCCAAACUUACCUUCCUUUGAGAUCUCCCCAACGGACAGAAGACUCUGCGUCGUUGGACGGCUGAGUGGACUUCAACGUUGAUAGCUAUAAUCCCCUUACUCUCUUUUCCUUCUGCUUUGUUUUCUCCUCUUUUCCCUCUAUCACAUAUUAGUGCUGAUGAGCACUCAAUAAAGUGUGUUUUGCUGUUUAAGUCCUUGGUUUGCUGAUAAUCUUCUGUACUCUAAGAUCUAAUAAAAGAACCACAUCAUGAAUCC